UGCACCCAGGUGAAAUAAACAGCCGUGUUGCUCACACAAAGCCUGUUUGGUGGUCUCUUCACACGGACGUGCAUGACAUUUGGUGCCGAAGACCCAGGAUAGGAGGACUCCUUCGGGAGACGGGUCCCCUGUCCUCACCCUCACUCUGUGAGAAGAUCCACCUACAACCUCGGGUCCUCAAACCAACCAACCCAAGGAACAUCUCACCAAUUUCAAAUUGGGAAACAACUCCAAAAAUUGGAUUCCGGCCCUCAAACCCCACAACAGGACUUAAUUAACCUUGCCUUCAAGGUGUACAAUAAAAGAGAAGAGGCAGCCAAGCGACAACACAUCUCUGAGUUACAGCUCCUUGCCUCCGCUGUAAGACAACCCACAACCAUGUCUCCAGCAUACAAAAACUUCAGAACAUCCAAGCCACAGUUCCCAGGGGCUCCUUCAAAACCUCCUCAUGGACCUUGCUUCAAAUGCCAAAAGCCUGGCCACUGGGCCUCGGAAUGCCCGCAGCCCGGGAUUCCUCCUAGGCCGUGCCUUGUCUGUGUGGGCCCCCACUGGAGGUCGGACUGUCCAGCUCACAUCGCCACCGUUCCUAAAGCUCCUGGAGCUCAAACCCAGUGUUCCUUGGUCGACUCCUUCCCACAUCUCCUCAGCUUAGUAGCUGAAGACUGACACUGCCCAAUCACCUCGGAAGCCCCCUGGACCAUCACAGACGCGCGUGACAGUCCCCAGCACUGCAGAGAUCUGAGAUCCAAUAACAGUCUGCAGAGGUCUACUCACCAUGCAGAGGUCUACUCACACCAUAGCCACUGUUCUGGGAUUCCCAUUCCAUUUAGACCUCCUGAUUGCCCCGUGUCUUCUUACAAUAAACACCGCUUCACUUA
Molecule: long non-coding RNA, 878 nt
Organism: Macaca mulatta (Rhesus monkey)
Lineage: Eukaryota; Metazoa; Chordata; Mammalia; Primates; Cercopithecidae
Source: RefSeq, a predicted model, not a curated record